AACGAACGCUGGCGGCAGGCCUAACACAUGCAAGUCAAACGGCCCUUCGGGGCAGUGGCGCACGGGUGCGUAACACGUGGGAAUUUACACUUCGGUAAGGAAUAACACAGAGAAAUUUGUGCUAAUACCUUAUAAUGACUCCGGUCCAAAGAUUUAUCGCCGAAGGAUAAGCCCGCGCCUGAUUAGGUAGUUGGUGAGGUAAGAGCUCACCAAGCCGACGAUCAGUAGCUGGUUUGAGAGGAUGAUCAGCCACACUGGUACUGAGACACGGACCAGACUCCUACGGGAGGCAGCAGUGAGGAAUAUUGCGCAAUGGGGGAAACCCUGACGCAGCCAUGCCGCGUGAGUGACGAAGGCCCUAGGGUUGUAAAACUCUUUCAGAUGCGAAGAUAAUGACGGUAACAUCAGAAGAAGCUCCGGCUAAAUUCGUGCCAGCGCCGCGGUAA
RNAcentral lists this ribosomal RNA (446 nucleotides) under uncultured bacterium. RNAcentral describes it as "bacterial SSU rRNA". It matches the Rfam family "Bacterial small subunit ribosomal RNA", at positions 29 to 523 of the family's 1533-position model. The record is from RNAcentral.